CUUUGCGCCUGUCUGUCCUUCGCAUAUUUCAUUGCGCCUCAGUCCUAUUCAACCCAUGGAAUUGAAAGUCUAAUCUUUCUUUGGGUCCUCCGUUUUAGAGUCCUACGGAUAAAUCCUCCGGACCUGUCUUAUGGCACCUCUCUUAGUCGAGCUGCUUCGCACCUGGAAGUCUCGUCAAUAUUCUUUUCACCUUCGGUUCAAUUAUUUUGGAGGGCUCAAAGAAUUUGAGACGAGUGCAAGCAGUUUCAUUCUCAGUUUCAGUACUCUAAGCAAGGUAAUUCUCAGAGUCAUCUGUCUAUCCCGUUAAGGGGCAGGUGUUCAGCCGGAGACAAGAAAGGGCUCGACUUCCUUUGGGGAUUAUCCCUUGAAUCAGUGGGAGUUGGUCUUGCAGUAGCAGUUCUUGUUCCAGUUUCAUAGGUUGAAUGAUCUCUUUCGUAAGGCAAAAAGGCUGAUUUCUCUAUUUGGAAUAUCUGUCCCAUUAUUUCAAAGUAAAGGAAAGCCUUUAGAUGCGCUCAAGCGCCCAACUGGGCUCGAAAGCUGCGAAAAAAGUCUCGCUGUGAAAUCGGUGUGGUGAGGUAUUGGAAGUGUUCAGCGAAUCGAGAGAAAGACAAGAAAGUGAAAGGCAGAGCUUCCGCAAAACGAGGUAGGUAGCUUUCGCUAAUGAGAGAUGGCUUUGGGGAUUAGGUCUCCAAAUUCAUGGAAUUUCUUUUCUCUUUCUAUAUAUGAGAAGCAAAGAUGCACAGAGCAACCCGACCGAAGGCGCUGAAGGAGGGCAAGUGGUCCACUCUCUCAUCUACAACAGAAGAUCAACCCCUUGUCCAAACUGAAGAUAAAGUUCAUAUGGACCUGAUCUCAAAUCCCCUAAUGGAUAGUCCUUCGGACCUGUCUUAUGGCACCGCGGAGUGGUCCGGAGGCGCAAUUCAAUAUGCGACUUUGAACCGGAGGUUCAAUGCCCACGGAGCGGGAGAGGUCUCGUCUUUUCCGCUGACUCCCACUUUUUCUUUCUGUAUUUGCUUAGUCUUUGCUUUGUUCUUUUCCCCUUUCCACUUGUACUUCCACUUUCUUCCUUUUUGAUAUCGCUUUUCUUCUUUCAGUUGCCUUCCUUCCUUUCUCCCCUCUGAUUUUAUGGAUGCCCCUCCCUUUAGACUUGCAGUAAAGCUGAACAAGUUGACUCAGCUUGCGCUUGGCUUCACUGCCUUGACUAUCAGAGAGAGGAAUUGCUAAAUAGACAGAGAGUAGUACCAUAGGCUUUCUUCUUUUUAGCUAGUGAAAGAGGGCAAUAUUCUUUGCGCCUUCCAUCUGCCUGCUUUCUUUGACUGCAACCAUGCUUGCCAGAGUUCUUGCUUCCCUUUUUCGGCCCCAGCCACAUACCGGUUAGCGAGGAGAUUGGUCUAAGAUGGCUAGUUGCUUGUACUUUAAUCGAGAAAAAGUUGGAGAUAUGAGAGAAAUUCUUUUCUUUCUUUGGGAUAAAUUGCCAAUUCCAUGAAAGCAUUUGCCUUAAUGAAAAAAGGGGAUCCUAUUGACCUAGGAUAAUAAGCUCAUGAGCUUAGUCUUACUUCACCAGAAAGGAAAGAAGACUUCCAUCUCCAAGUUGAACUCAGACCUAGCUCCCUUCUUUAUAUCGCCUCUGCUGGUCAUUCUGCUUUGAAACUAUGGGAAAUGAAUUAGAUAAAUCAGCCUUUCUUUCUAUAAAGAGAUAUAUAGCUCAUUCCCGAUCUCACUACUUCGCAAAUUCUUUGCUCCUUCUCUUUGUUCAAGAAGGGCUACGUGGGCGACUGCUGAAACUGGGUCCCGCACCCCUAUUUAUUUAUGGAUGUCAUUGAGCGGAGGACCUCGAUCAUUCUUUGAGGACGGAAGCUUGAUAAAGUCAGAAGGCGCAAAGAAUAUUGCCCUUUUUGAAAGGCACCAAAAACAAAGGCGCAAAGAAUAUUGCGUUAGAAAUCAGUGGAAUUAAUCAGUCCUCCGCCUAAGAGCGCAAACCAAAGGCAAAGGACGCGUCGGACUCCCGGACCUCUUUAUAUCCACAGGAAAAGCUUGAUAAAGUCAGAAGGCGCAAAGACGCAAUAUUCUUUGUUUUUGGCUAGGCUUUCUUUCUUCUUGUCUUUUAUUGCUCCUAACCCCGAAAGAGGUGGGGUUCCUUCUAACCUCUCCUCUUCCCCACGUAGCGGUCGAGACUAUUCUACUCUUUCCGGAUAGAUUCUGUUCUUUGUCUUUCUCAAAUUCUUUGAGCAUCGACCGCCUACAAGAUCCAGUCAAUUAAUGUAGUGGGCUGACUUUGCGCCUCAGUCGCAGCUCCUUUCAGUUCUCCGCAAUAUUCCCCAUAUUAAGCUACGGAGGCCAGACAGGUCCGAAGGACUAUCCAUAUUAACCCGUCUGUCAUCUGGUCCCUUUGAUUUUCUUCUUUGCUCCUAACUACUAAUGGAAAGGACCCACGGAGCGGUGCAAAGAAUAUUGCGAAGGACAGACAGGUCCGAAGGACUAUCCAUAUUAACAUUAACCCGUCUGUCCUUCGGUCUUAAUACUCCUAACUACGGGGGAUAUUCUUGUAAUUAAUUGACUGGAUCUUGUUUGCGUGAGGUGCAAAGAAUAUUGCGAUGUAGGCUCGACAGGGAUAUUCUUGGAUUUCAGACUCGCGUAGGCGCAGUUGCGCAAAGAAUAUUGCGAAAACGUAGGUGCAAAGAUCUAUGGCCCAAUUAUAAGGGGUCCAGAUGACUAUCCAUUAGGGAAUGUGAGAAGCUCCUUAACAGGAGUGCGGAGUCUGAAAUCCCGGGUUAAUAUGGAUAGUCCUUCGGACGUCCGAAGGACUCUAAAAAGGAGCCUAACGGAGGCUCAAAGAAUAUUGAGGUUAGGAGCAUUGAAUUUAUAGAGAAUAGUCCGGAGGACCUCCUUCAGCAUAAUCUAUGAAUGAUCGGUUUCAUAUUGCGGAAAAGAAGAAAGGCUCUUUUCAUAUUGAGAAAUCCCGUCCUUCGGACAGACGGGUUAAUAUGGAUAGUCCUUCGGACCUGUCUGUCCUUCGGACUGGAGCCAGAAAAAAAAGGGCAAUAUUCUUUGCGCCUUCUGACUGCUAACCUCUGCGGUCAGUCCUUCGGACCAGGUGCGCGAAGCGAAGCGACUGGAAGGAUAGAAGCAGCUCGACUAAGAAGGAGAGGCGCCAUAAGACAGGUCCGGAGUCCGCAGUCCGCAGGAUUUAUCCGUAGUCCUACGUCCGGAGUCCGCAGGGCCAAAGAAAGGUCCAGGGUCCGGAGUCCGCAGGAUUCUUAUCCGGAGUCCGGAGGAUUUAUCCGUAGGACCAUCCGUAAUUAACCGAAGUAGGACUAUCCAUAUGGAAGUAGGACCAUCCGUAAUUAACAGAAGUAGGACUCUAAAACGGAGGACCCAAAGAAAGAUUAGAUUUUAGGCGAAGGACUGAUUAAUUCCACUAAUAUUUCGGAGGACUUGUUAAUGGAACUGAUUGUAGUAGGCGUCGGACAACUCAUUCAUUCUAUUUAGACCUCAAUGAAGAAUAUUGAUGAUCUCUCGCUAUCGGAUAUCAAGAGUAUUCCAAAGAUUACUAUCCUGUUCAAGUCUCGUUUUUGACUAAUGGGAUGCCUUUUUUCAUUUUCAUCAGCCAAGGUCAAGACCUGCUAGUCCUACCACGUUAAGGGAGAGCACCCAACUUGCUUGUUGACACGUGAGGGAAAAUAGGAGUCAGAGGUGGGAGGAUUUACCACGUUAGCCCUAUGGUAGUGAUGGUUGGUCUUUUAGAUAUUAUGUCCUUUGAGUGCCUUUUGCGCGCUUAGCCUCGGAAAGAAAGAGGUGCUUCUACAGCGCUUUGGUGCUAAAACCUAAAACUAGGCUCAAUUCGGAAACUGAAACGAAGAAAUUCCCACGCAAUAUUCUUUGCCUGAAAUUUGAAGGAGUCUUAAGACCUCGCAUAUUUCAUUGCGCCUUCGCAUAUUUCAUUGCGCCUCAGUCCUAUCCAUUAGGAAUUAAACUGCGCUAGUAGGAUAGAUACGGCAAGAUCUUUCACUUUCUUCCUUGACCUUCCGGCACUGGGCGGGCUUGUAGACUAUUUCAUUCCAAAUCGUCGCCCCUUUCCUUAUCUACCGUGUGCCUAUUUGCUUUCUUUCAUAGGCAAAUUUCUUUGUCGGUGGCAACAUCGGCAUGCGUUAUAUAAGACUUUAAGCGCACCUUCACUACAAGACUGCCAGAACCGUCACGGGCUUCUUCUGGAACGAGGCGCAAAGAAUAUAUAGAAUAAAGGAGAGGAGUGGAACUGCUCGACUGUAAGGAGAGGAGUGGAACUGCUCGACUGUAAGGAGAGGAGUCCUUUUUCCGUAGGUUGAUGCUUUGUAUCGCACGCUUCUUCUAUUUUUCUAUAUAGUGUGAACACCUUGCCCCCUAUUCAUUAGUUCCAAGAAAGGGGCCGUUCACGUCGCCGGUUUUUGAUCUAGUUGCAAUAAAAUAAGUUCGCUUUUUUUCGUCGAGAUUGGGUUGGUGUGAAGCCUCAGUACAAGAUCGAAAAGAAUGCAUAGCAUUCCAAGUGAGAUGCCCAAGAUAAAAGGAACGAGGGGAAGAAUCAAUGACGGAGGACGCUCAUUCUAAUGGACCUCGCAUAUUUCAUUGCGCCUUCGCAAUAUUCUUUGCACCGCUCCGUGGGUCCUAUCCAUUAGACUGCACCUCGCAAUAUUCUUUGCGCCUGGAAGUCUAGUCAAUAUUCUUUUCACCUCCGGACUAUCCAUAUUAACCCACUAAAAAAGCGAAGGACUGCUAACCUCUGCGGUCAGUCCUUCGGACCAGGUGAGUCAGAAACAUUAACUUUAGGCAGAUCCCCCCUUAUUCUUAAAUAGUGGGACUUCUCGCAAUAUUCUUUGCGCCUCUCAACAAUAUCCCUGUCUUAUGGCACCUUCUGCUUCAUGAUUUUGGAUAGCCAAUUAUAUAGAAUCUUUGACCCUUUGUUCAUUGCCUUGAUAGGCUUGGAGUUGAUUCCACUUUUGUCUCUUCUUUAGGCUUUCUCAAUAUUCUUUUCACCUUGCCUCGUCCGGAGGACUAUCCAUAUUAACCUGUCUAGCCUUCGGACUGGUCCGGAGGCGCAAAGAAUAUUGCCCAUUAGAACUUUUUUCAAUCAAAAAGCGUGAGGAUCAUUCUCAACUCUCGAUGUUAGAAGGUGCAAAAUCAAUGGGUGCCGGAGCUGCUACAAUUGCUUCAGCGGGAGCUGCUGUCGGUAUUGGAAACGUCUUCAGUUCUUUGAUCCAUUCCGUGGCGCGAAAUCCAUCAUUGGCUAAACAAUCAUUUGGUUAUGCCAUUUUGGGCUUUGCUCUAACCGAAGCUAUUGCAUUGUUUGCUCUAAUGAUGGCCUUUUUGAUCUCAUUCGUAUUCCGAUCUCAAAGGUUUCAGUCUCAUAAAGCAAGACCUCCGAAAUAUUAGUGGAAUCUUUGAAUAGUCCUUCGCCUCAUUCUAAUGGACCAACAACAGUUCUUCCCGCUGAUUUUCAUUGCGCCUGGACCUUUGUUUUUGGAAUAAUUGACCCCCUCCGUUAGGCGCAAAGAAUAUUGCGAGAGUCCUGAUCCUUUAUAAAGCAGUUUCAGACGUUAGGAGCAAAGAAUAUUGCGAGACCGGUCCGUCCUCCGGACUCAAGGAUUCCGCUAAAGUUUAGGGAAUUUAGGAGCUAUUCCAAAACGAGCUGUUAAAUUCCCCCACGGAGCGGUAUCUAAUGUUUCAGACGUUAGGCGCAAAGAAUAUUGCGAGACCGCGUAGAAGGAGUCUUAUUCCAAUAAUAUCCGUAAUGAUCCUUUCUUUAUAAAGCCGUUUUUUUCGGAGUAUUAGGAACCGGCUUAAAUAGGCGACUCAUGAUUCCACUAAAUAGUUAGGCUCCAUAAGACAGGUCCGAAGGCGUCACAGGUUAAUAUGGAUAGGACUGAGGUCUUAAGACUCCUAACUACUAAUGGAAAGGACUGAGGACGUCCGAAGGACUCUAAAGAGGACGGGGGUGAGGCGCAAAGAAUUUGCGAUGCGUUCCAAAAAAAAGCUGUGAAAUCCCCACGGUGCGGUGCAAAUCUUCUUAUAGAUUAUGCUGAAGGAGGAUCAAUGAAAUUUGAUGAGUCAUGAUCCCGAAAAAGACUGCCACUCCGCGGUUCAAUUCAAUAUUCAAGGCGGAGGUUCAAAGUCGCAUAUUGAAUUGCGCCUCCUUCUAAUGGAUAGUCCUACGGAUAAAUCCUCCGGACUACUUCGGUUAAUUACGGAUGGUCCUACUUCUGUUAAUUACGGAUGGUCCUACGGAUAAAUCCUCCGGACUACUUCCCUCCAUAUGGAUGGUCCUACGGAUAAAUCACCUGGACCUUUCUUUGGCCCUGCGGACUCCGGACUGUUAAGGCUCAAAGAAGAUUUCGAAAUCCAUAUAUAUAAAAAAGGCUAGGCGAAAGGCGCGAAGCGAAGCGCAUGAAAUUCAGAGGUGCAAAGAAGAAAGAAAGAAGAGAAUGGCGAUCAGAAGAUUGAGAAAUCCAUAUUUGUGGAUAAGAGAGGUCCUUCGGACUGGUAGAUUUCAGACGAUAGAGGUGCAAAGAAGAAAGAAGAGAGUUGCGUGAGAAAGUCAAAUAAUAGCUAUUAAUACUCCUACAAUAUCCCUGUCUUAUGGAGCCUUAGUCGUAUUCCAAAAAAUAGCCGUUUUCAAAGUCAAUGACAUCGGUUUUUAGUCAGCUAAAGAUAUUCUUUCUUCCCGCUCCGUGGGCUUAACGGUUCAAUGAACAAGGGGUGUAGUUCCUCCGCAAUAUUCUUUGCGCCUUCGCCUCGCAAUAUUCUUUGCUCCUAACUACGGGGGUACGAUCUAACUAAAAGGAUUCCACAUUCAAGAGGACCGGACACCUGAGUCGAGUAAUGGGAAGCGGGCUAGUCCCCGAAAAUGCUCGUUCCUGUUGGGGCUUACAAUGAACCUUGUGACUCUAACUCUUCUUCAAAAAAAGCCUCUCUAUAUUAGCGGAUCAGUCUUUACUUAUCUCAAGCAAUGUCCAUCCCAUGCCUUUCUUGGUUGGACCAACCCAACCGGCGAUUUCCGACAAGUCUUUCUUCAUUUUUCUUGAAAGAAGCGGAACUACAGGGAUGAAAUGAAAAGUGUUUCUGACUCUUACGCCCAACAGCCCACUUGAGCAAUUUGCCAUUCUCCCAUUGAUUCCUAUGCAUAUAGGAAACUAUUAUUUCUCAUUCACAAAUCCAUCUUUGUUUAUGCUGCUAACUCUCAGUUUGGUCCUACUUCUGCUUCAUUUUGUUACUAAAAACGGAGGAGGAAACUCAGUACCAAAUGCUUGGCAAUCCUUGGUAGAGCUUAUUUAUGAUUUCGUCCCGAACCUGGUAAACGAACAAAUAGGUGGUCUUUCCGGAAAUGUGAAACAAAAGUUUUUCCCUCGCAUCUUGGUCACUUUGACUUUUUCGUUAUUUCGUAAUCCCCAGGGUAUGAUACCUUAUAGCUUCACAGUUACAAGUCAUUUUCUCAUUACUUUGGGUCUCUCAUUUUCUCUUUUUAUUGGUAUUACUAUAGUGGGAUUUCAAAGAAAUGGGCUUCAUUUUUUCAGUUUUUUAUUACCCGCAGGAGUCCCACUGCCAUUAGCACCUUUUUUAGUACUCCUUGAGCUAAUCCCUCAUUGUUUUCGCGCAUUAAGCUCAGGAAUACGUUUAUUUGCUAAUAUGAUGGCCGGUCAUAGUUCAGUAAAGAUUUUAAGUGGGUCCGCUUGGACUAUGCUAUGUAUGAAUAAUAUUCUCUAUUUCAUAGGAGAUCCUGGUCCUUUAUUUAUAGUUCUUGCAUUAACCGGUUUGGAAUUAGGUGUAGCUAUAUCACAAGCUCAUGUUUCUACGAUCUCAAUCUGUAUUUACUUGAAUGAUGCUACAAAUCUCCAUCAAAAUGGUUAUUUAUUUAUAAUUGAACAAAAGCGAAAAUCAAGCUCCAGAUCCUAGGCUAAAAUCAAGGCGGUCGAUCGAGUGGAAGAGUGGAAAUAAGGCAUGUCCGGAUAAGUCAAUGUUCUCAAAUUCAGGCUCAAGAUGAGAUUCUUUCUUUUCUGGCCUUAGGCGCAAAGAAUAUUGCGAUGCGAUUGCCUUCUAUAUAUUCUUUGCACCUUCGGACCGGCAAAAAGAAAGGUCAAGAUGACAUUCUUGAUUUAGGAGCGAAGCAUGAAAAGAAGAGAUAAAUAAAGUGUUAAGGAGCGCAAUCAAUGAACAAAGGAGGUCGGAUCGUCCUUUAAGUUUCAUGGCUUUCCUGAGAAGGAGCUUCAAGCUCUCACUCAGAUACAUCGGGUCAGACAUAAGAAGGGGAGGGCCAGUAUGAUCUCUUUCCGUUGAGGAUCAAAGUCGCAUAUUUCAUUGCGCCUCCUUCGGUUAAUUACGGAUGGUCCUACUUCCAUAUGGAUAGUCCUACGGAUAAGAAUCCUCCGGACUCCGGACUACUUCGGUUAAUUACGGAUGGUCCUACGGAUAAAUCACCUGGACCUUUCUUUGGCCCAUAUGGAUGGUCCUACGGAUAAAUCACCUGGACCUUUCUUUGGCCCUGCGGACUGCGGACUCCGGACUACGGAUAAAUCCUGCUUCUAAUGGAUAGUCCUACUUCCAUAUGGAUAGUCCUACGGAUAAGAAUCCUCCGGACGUAGGAC
RNAcentral lists this long non-coding RNA (8612 nucleotides) under Cucumis sativus (cucumber). RNAcentral describes it as "long non-coding RNA (CSAT_LNC000005)". Lineage: Eukaryota; Viridiplantae; Streptophyta; Magnoliopsida; Cucurbitales; Cucurbitaceae. The record is from RNAcentral.